CCAAUAGCGUAUAUUAAAGUUGUUGCAGUCAAAAAGCUCGUAGUUGAAUUUCGGGAUUCUACCGUUGGUCGGGCUAACAAGUCUGUACUGGUGUGUAGAAUUUCUACCUUCUGGGGAACUAUCAUGUUAUUAAUUUAGCGUGGUGGGAAACCAGGACCUUUACCUUGAAAAAAUUAGAGUGUUCAAAGCAGGCUUACGUCUGAAUACAUUAGCAUGGAAUAAUAGAAUAGGACGGUGGUCCUGUUUUGUUGGUUUCUGAAUCACCGUAAUGAUUAAUAGGGAUAGUUGGGGGCAUUAGUAUUCAAUUGUCAGAGGUGGAAUUCUUGGAUUUAUUGAAGACUAACUUCUGCGAAAGCAUUUGCCAAGGAUGUUUUCAUUAAUCAAGAAUGAAAGUUAGGGGAUCGAAGACGAUCAGAUACCGUCGUAGUCUUAACCAUAAACUAUGCCGACUAGGGAUCGGACGAUGUUAAAUUUAUUGACUCGUUCGGCGCCUUACGGGAAA
Molecule: ribosomal RNA, 502 nt
Filed under: uncultured Glomeromycotina
Lineage: Eukaryota; Fungi; Glomeromycota
Description: SSU rRNA
Rfam family: Eukaryotic small subunit ribosomal RNA
Source: RNAcentral